GAUGAACGCUGGCGGCGUGCUUAACACAUGCAAGUCGAACGGAAAGGCCCAGCUUUUGUGGGGUACUAGAGUGGAGAGGGGGUGUGUAACGCGUGAGUACCCUGCUCGUGACUGUGGGAUACCUUCGGGACUCAGGGUAUAAUUCCGGAUAAGUGCUCAUCGUGCGUGGUGGGGGGGGGAGAGUUUCGGUGGUUGGGGAUGGACUCGCGGCUUAUCAGCUUGUUGGUGGGGUAGUGGCUUACCAAGGCCUUGACGGGUAGCCGGCCUGAGAGGGUGACCGGCCACACUGGGACUGAGAUACGGCCCAGACUCCUACGGGAGGCAGCAGUGGGGAAUAUUGCACAAUGGGCGGAAGCCUGAUGCAGCAACGCCGCGUGCGGGAUGACGGCCUUCGGGUUGUAAACCGCUUUCGCCUGUGACGAAGCGUGAGUGACGGUAAUUGGUAAAGAAGCACCGGCUAACUACGUG
Molecule: ribosomal RNA, 468 nt
Filed under: uncultured bacterium
Lineage: Bacteria
Description: partial 16S ribosomal RNA
Rfam family: Bacterial small subunit ribosomal RNA
Source: RNAcentral